GGGUUCUGAGAGUUGUUAAAGAGACUCCUUUUCCCCUCACAGAGCUACAGUCUCCAGAGUUCCCUGAGAAGAGGGACUGGUUGUUAAACUACUCUGGAAAUUGUAGCUCUGUGAGGGGAGAAGGGGUCUCAUAACUACUCUCAGUGCCC
Podarcis lilfordi (Lilford's wall lizard) is the source of this 149-nucleotide non-coding RNA. The record is from the annotation of a GenBank genome assembly. NCBI's taxonomy places the organism in Eukaryota, Metazoa, Chordata, Lepidosauria, Squamata, Lacertidae.